AGCCUCUCUCCAGAAUGGGUUAGGAGGUGGGAAUGCAAAGGCUCUCAGGACACCAGGAUCUGUCCUUGGAAACACAGGGGCCAGGCCCACCCCGGAAAUGGCUUCAUUCAUUCAGCACUAGACUCUGAAAGGAAGGAGGCGGAGCCAGUUCCUACCCCGAGGAGCCUACUCUGGAGCAGGGGCAGAUCCUCCCUGGGAGAUGAAUGGAAUAUCCCUACUUGGCAGACAAAGAAACGAAGACCACAGAGGCUGGGCACCUCAUCCAGGUCACUGAGGAAGAACCAGCAGAACACGGAUUUGACCCCAGGUCUGUGCUGCCUGCAUGGAGCUAGCCUGAGAGUUCCCCGUGGGCAGCCGACCCCGCGAUUUCCUUCCCUCUCACUGCUCCAGUCAUCCAACGCUGCUGCCGGCUGGCACAACAUACCGGGGCCUAGAAUCAGUCUCCUCACACCCUGAUGCCCACCCCGGAAUAAAAGAGGAGGGCUACCUAUCUGGCAACAGGCUAGCCACACCUCACCCUGUCUGCCCUUCCCAUCCUCUGCCUGGACCCUGCAGCGGUGUCACAUAUUGACCCUCCCCCAACCCCUGCAUCGCAGGCCCUCAGGACAGAGACCAGUAGCGGCAGAGGAAAAAAAUAAAUGCAUGGCGGGGGACUUGUCUUGGUUCUCUGCUCUAAGUAGCAGGUCUGAUUGUGUUGCAGGAAGGAAGAAGGGGGUCCCAGACCAGAUUGCUAGUCCCACACUAACACUGUUUGGGAUGCCUGGGCUAAA
Molecule: long non-coding RNA, 770 nt
Organism: Camelus dromedarius (Arabian camel)
Lineage: Eukaryota; Metazoa; Chordata; Mammalia; Artiodactyla; Camelidae
Exons: 4
Source: RefSeq, a predicted model, not a curated record